This 641-nucleotide ribosomal RNA is filed under the name uncultured bacterium. RNAcentral describes it as "bacterial SSU rRNA". It matches the Rfam family "Bacterial small subunit ribosomal RNA", at positions 8 to 679 of the family's 1533-position model. The record is from RNAcentral.
AGAGUUUGAUCCUGGCUCAGAACGAACGUUGGCGGCGUGGAUUAGGCAUGCAAGUCGUGGGAAUCCCCAGCAAUGGGGGGAACCGGCGUAAGGGGCAGUAAGGCAUGGGUGACCUACCCGGCGGUUGGGCAUAGCCCGUAGAAAUACGGGGUAAUUCCCAGCGAUGUCGUAAGACCAAAGCUCCGGCGCCACCGGAGGGGCCCAUGUAGUAUUAGCUAGUUGGUGGGGUAACGGCCCACCAAGGCGAAGAUGCUUAGCGGGUGUGAGAGCACGACCCGCGCCACUGGCACUGAGACACUGGCCAGACACCUACGGGUGGCUGCAGUCGAGGAUCUUCGGCAAUGGGCGCAAGCCUGACCGAGCGACGCCGCGUGUGCGAUGAAGGCCUUCGGGUUGUAAAGCACUGUCGAGGGGGAGAAAAGCCGCAAGGCUUGAUCUAUCCCUGGAGGAAGCACGGGCUAAGUUCGUGCCAGCAGCCGCGGUAAGACGAACCGUGCGAACGUUGUUCGGAAUCACUGGGCUUAAAGGGCGCGUAGGCGGGCUGCAAAGUCCGGGGUGAAAUCCUCCAGCUCAACUGGAGAACGGCCUCGGAUACUUGCGGUCUCGAGGGAGGUAGGGGCGUGCGGAACUAUGGGUGGAGC